RNAcentral lists this ribosomal RNA (376 nucleotides) under uncultured bacterium. RNAcentral's name for it is "bacterial SSU rRNA". It matches the Rfam family "Bacterial small subunit ribosomal RNA", at positions 524 to 898 of the family's 1533-position model. The record is from RNAcentral.
UACGGAGGGUGCGAGCGUUGUUCGGAAUUAUUGGGCGUAAAGCGCGUGUAGGCGGUUUGGUAAGUCUGAUGUGAAAGCCCCGGGCUCAACCUGGGAAGUGCAUUGGAAACUGUCAGACUUGAAUACGGGAGAGGGUAGUGGAAUUCCUAGUGUAGGAGUGAAAUCCGUAGAUAUUAGGAGGAACACCGGUGGCGAAGGCGGCUACCUGGACCGAUAUUGACGCUGAGACGCGAAAGCGUGGGGAGCAAACAGGAUUAGAUACCCUGGUAGUCCACGCCGUAAACGAUGAGUACUAGGUGUUGCGGGUAUUGACCCCUGCAGUGCCGCAGCUAACGCAUUAAGUACUCCGCCUGGGAAGUACGGUCGCAAGACUAAA